RNAcentral lists this transfer RNA (46 nucleotides) under Cnemaspis phangngaensis (Phangnga Rock Gecko). RNAcentral's name for it is "partial tRNA-Cys". Lineage: Eukaryota; Metazoa; Chordata; Lepidosauria; Squamata; Gekkonidae. The record is from RNAcentral.
AAGGUGCCGGGGCUUCUCCCGUUUUUUCCCCCAGACGGGAGAAGCG